Molecule: long non-coding RNA, 1362 nt
Filed under: Coturnix japonica (Japanese quail)
Lineage: Eukaryota; Metazoa; Chordata; Aves; Galliformes; Phasianidae
Description: lncRNA (ENSCJPG00005006666.1)
Source: RNAcentral
ACACCCACCUGCAUGUUGACCAGCCGGGCCCCCCCCCGGGGCUGGCGCAGGAGGAGCUGGGCCAGGCCGAGGUUCCCCCCCCUGACUGCGAUGUGCAGCGGGGUCAGGCUGCUCUUGGAGUCCUGUGGGGUGGGACGGAACUUGUGGGGCGCCCCAUAGGGACGGACAGACACAGGGAGACACAGAGACCCAUAGAGCACAAAGGAACCCCAUAGAGACUCAUAGGGACACAGAGAUUCCACAAAGACACAUAGAGACACCACUGGGACCCAUAAGAAGACAUAGAGACCCUAUAGAGACCCACAGAUCCCAUACAGACCCCAGAGACCCCAUAGAGACACACAGAGACCCCCAGAUCCCAUACAGACCCCAUAGGGGACACACAGACCCCAUACAGACCCCACAGACCCCAUAGGGACACACAGACCCCAUACAGACCCCACAGACCCCAUAGACCCUACAGACCCCAUACAGACCCCAUAGGGACACACAGACCCCAUACAGACCCCAUACAGACCCCACAGACCCCAUACAGACCCCAUAGGGUCACACAGACCCCAUACAGACCCCAUACAGACCCCAUACAGACCCCACAGACCCCAUAGGGUCCCACAGACCCCAUACAGACCCCAUAGGGUCCCACAGAGACCCACAGACCCCAUAGGGUCCCACAGAGCCCAUACAGACCCCAGAGACCCCAUAGGGACACACAGAGACCCACAGAUCCCAUACAGACCCCACAGACCCCAUAGGGACACACAGAGACCCCCAGAUCCCAUACAGACCCCAUAGGGUCACACAGAUCCCAUACUGACCCUACAGACCCCAUAGGGAGAAACAGAGACCCCCAGAUCCCAUACAGACCCCAUAGGGUCACACAGAUCCCAUACAGACCCCACAGACCCCAUAGGGACACACAGAUCCCAUACAGACCCCACAGACCCCAUACAGACCCCAUAGGGUCACACAGACCCCACAGACCCCAUACAGACCCCAUAGGGACACACAGACCCCACACAAACCCCAUAGGGUCCCACAGACCCCAUACAGACCCCAUACAGACCCCAUAGGGACACAGAGAUCCCAUACAGACCCCAUACAGACCCCAUAGGGUCGCACAGACCCCACACAGACCCCAUACAGACCCCAUACAGACCCCACAGACCCCAUACAGACCCCAUACAGACCCCAUAGGGUCACACAGACCCCAUACAGACCCCAUAGGGUCCCACAGACCCCAUACAGACCCCACAGACCCCAUACAGACCCCAUAGGGUCCCACAGACCCCAUACAGACCCCAUACAGACCCCAUAGGGUCACACAGACCCCAUACAGACCCCACAGACCCCAUACAGACCCCA